CAACCCUAUCACUUCAAAAGAAACAUAUCCCCUCUCUUUCUCUCUACAAGAACAAGCUGAAACAAAAUGACUAAAAUACCUAUCUAUAUAUAUAUACUAAUCAAUCCCUACCACUUUCAAAAGAAACAUAUCCCCCUCUCUCUCUCCUCGAUCUAAACCCUAGUGCGCCGUUUCUGCCACCACCAUCAAUGUCUCUCAUCCGCCGUUACCGUCUCCUUUCUGCUACUAACACUCUCACCACCGUGUCACAAUCGCUAUCAACUUAGCGACGAGAAAAGACUUUGGUUCAUCGUCGAAACCCUCCACAACUUCAUUGCCACGUCGAUCACCUUAGAUCUGAGAUCAUCACUUCAAAUUGCCACUGUCCAUGGCCUCUUGUCGUUCAUCGCCAGAUCUACUGGUGUUGGAGUCAUAUGGUUCUAACGUUGUAACAUUUUGGAAGAGGUCGCAGUAAUUCAGUGGAUCUGGCGGUGAGUGGAGAUUAGGGAGAAGACUUUAGUUUUGACGCCGUUACCGUUAGCGGUGGUGGUUAGAUGUGUUUUUCUGCCACUGUCGCCGCGCUUCAAAGGCAUCACAUUGUUGUUGAUGAUGAUGAAACAUAUUGUUGUUAUUGUUGAUGAUGAUAAUGAUUGCAAUAAAUUAAAUAAAAUAUGUGGUGUAAUAGAUUAAACAAAAUGGCUUAGUGUAUUUCAAUAACAAAAAUUUGAACAGAUAAAAAAAUUCAGGAAAAAAAAUUAAACAAAUAAAUAGAAUUUAGGGAUAAAAUUCAAUAGAUAGAUAUAAUUUAGGAGAAAAAUUGAACA
Camellia sinensis is the source of this 803-nucleotide non-coding RNA. The record is from RefSeq and is a predicted model, not a curated record. Lineage: Eukaryota; Viridiplantae; Streptophyta; Magnoliopsida; Ericales; Theaceae.